RNAcentral lists this unclassified non-coding RNA (2633 nucleotides) under Actinia tenebrosa (Australian red waratah sea anemone). RNAcentral's name for it is "dDB1- and CUL4-associated factor 6-like, transcript variant X2". The record is from RNAcentral. Lineage: Eukaryota; Metazoa; Cnidaria; Anthozoa; Actiniaria; Actiniidae.
AGUAACAGACGUUUUGUCAUGCGUCAGGAGAGGAUCCAAAGAUGGAGGAUGUUGUUGUUGUUUUGUUUUCGUAUUCACGUUCUUUAUGACACUGAUCUUAUUAUCCCUUCACAAUGAGGGAUACUUUGUACCAAACCUUACAGCAGCGAGUCUAUGGAUCUGUUACUCCAGAUCUGCUGUUCAAGCGAGCUCGUGAUAGUAAAUACCUCCUUCAAUGUCUCCAGAGGACCGGCACGCUAACAGGACACGAUGGAUGCGUUAAUACAAUCGCUUGGAGUGACUCUGGUGAUCUGUUGCUUUCUGGAUCAGAUGAUUGUAGGCUGAAUAUAUACAGACCUUAUCAGCAUAAGUUACUUAAGUCAAUUUCCACUGGUCAUCGUGCCAAUAUCUUCAGUGCAGCGUUUCUUCCAUGUACAGCAAACAAACAGAUUGUGUCAUGUGCUGGAGAUGGGAUGAUUCAUUUUACUGAGCUACAAAGACCAGAAUUAUAUGGAAAGUGUUCUUAUAACUGUCAUUCUGGAACAGCAUAUGAGCUAGUCACAACACCAGGAGACCCUAACACAUUCAAGUCCUGUGGUGAAGAUGGUACAGUGCGUUUGUUUGAUAUCAGGACCAAGUCUAAAUGUUCAGCACGGAACUGUAAAGAGGAUGUCCUGAUAGAUUAUGGAAAAGCCAUCACAUCUAUGGGUGUAAACCCUUUGACACCCUAUCAGCUAGCCAUUGGUUGUGAAGACAGUACUGUUGCUUUGUUUGACUGUCGCUCUUUGAGUACAGCAAACUCUAGUCGAGGAAUGAAAGGAAUGCUAUGUAAAUUUAAACCGGAUUCCCUCAAAGACAGGACAUGUCGAGUUACGUCCCUGCAGUAUAGUUCUGAUGGAUGUGAGCUGCUUGUUAGCUACUGUGCAGAUUACGUAUACUUGUUUAACAUGAGAGGAGAGAAAGAAGUUCGUUUGACUUGUGAAGGCGGAGGGCACGAAAAUGGAGCAUUUUCAAAUGAUGAUUCAAAGAGGAGCCUCCCUCUUAAACGACUGCGUCUGCGAGGGGACUGGUCUGAUACUGGUCCGAAUGCUAGACCUGAAAGUGAAGCUGCCUCAAGUGAAAGCACGCUCAUGCAGCGCAUGUCUGAUUUAUUUGUCCGCUGGAUUGAAGAAUCGUUUCGAGGAAACCAAAGGAAUAGAGCGAGGACAGGAUCACACACAAGAAGUGAGUCUUCCUCUUCUUCUUCUUCAAUGCCGUCUCUACCUUCUUUACCUUCUCGUGUGAGGUCUUCAUCUGAUAGCUCCAGGGCGACUAACAUAUCCGAAACGCUGCCAUUCGAUGAAGGAACAAGUAACCAGGACUCUGUUGAUAUGAACGUUGAUGAAUCCUCUAAUGAUGUCUUUGAAACUGCGUCAAGUGGUACAUCAAAUAUGAUGGACGCAGAGGACCAAAAGAAGGACGAUGAUGAUGAUGAUGGCACUGAUGAGAAAAUGGAUUUGGUUUUGAAUAUUGACCACACUGUGGCGGGACCAAGCGGUGUGAAAAUUGAAGUCACUUCUCCUAACACUACAGAAAACAAAGACACUAAAGAAGACGAUCCUGAUAGUGAUCGUGAAGACAUGGAAGCACAAUCUAAUGAUGAUUCAAAUAACGCAUCAGGCACGCCCGGUGCCAACUUAGAAAAGACUACGGAAGGAAAAGAAAGAGACUGCAAACAAGGCGUGGAAGAAACACAUGGUAAUGUAUCGGAGGGUGUGACUGAAGUGCGUGAUGAGAUAUCGGAGGGUGUAGCCGAAGCACGUGGUAAUGUAUCGGAGGGUGUGGCAGUAACGCGUGGUAAUGUAUCGGAGGGUGUAGCCGAAACACGUGGUAAUGUAUCGGAGGGUGUAGCCGAAAUACGUGGAAAUGUAUCGGAGGGUGUGGCAGUAACGCGUGGUAAUGUAUCGGAGGGUGUGGCAGUAACACACGGUGAGGUAUCUCCAGGCGUCGUCACUACUGAACCCAAUCAAGAGUCACUUGAACAUCAUUUGGCGGCAAUACGAAUACAACGUCUAUUCAGAAAUUAUAAGUUAAUAAAGAACUUCGAACAAACGAACGAACCUCGUGACGGAGAGAUGGGCGAACAAAAAGAGGUUUGGAUACCUAAGAUGACCAGAGUGUUCCGUGGGCACAGAAAUGCUCGAACCAUGAUAAAAGAGGCAAGGUUUUGGGGAGAUCGUUUUAUCAUGAGCGGAAGUGACUGUGGUCGAAUCUUCAUCUGGGAUAAAGACACGACAGAAAUAGUAAUGACCCUACAGGGCGAUCGACAUGUUGUCAACUGUGUGCAACCACAUCCAUUUGAUCCAAUUCUUGCUUCAAGCGGUAUUGACUAUGAUAUUAAACUGUGGGCACCAACAGCAGACACACCAUUACAAAUCGAUGGUCUAGAUGAGGUAAGUGUUACGGGAUACCUGUGUACUAUGAUAUUAAACUGUGGGCACCAACAGCAGACACACCAUUACAAAUCGAUGGUCUAGAUGAGAUCAUCAAGAGGAAUGAACAGAUGUUAGAGGAGAGCAGAGAUACGAUAACAGUUCCAGCUUCUUUUAUGUUACGAAUGCUAGCUUCAUUAAACCACGCUAGAUUUGCUCGAAAUCAAGAAGAUUCUGAUACCG